CGCAGGCACAAGAGGAAGGUGCAGCUGCUGCUGCUGCCGUUGGAGGCCCGCGUGGCCUGAAGAGCCUGCGGGCCUGCUGGGUCCUGGGCUCCUGGCAAGCUCAGUGAUGCUCGCCCGGUGGAGUCUGGGGGCCUGGCCCUGAGGGCGCCGCCAGCUGAAAUCUGCGUCUUGAGCUAGGCCUGGGUACUGGCAGGACGACCCGGACGGGGUGCUGGAGGAGCGCUGCUGGGCAGGGAGACCAGCCCCUGCGGGGAUCCGCCUCUUAGCCUCGGCUUGGACCUGAGAGGGCAAAACUCGAUCCUUAGGACCUUGACCAAGUAAAAUGAGGGAAGUUUGCUAAUAAAGAUACCACCAAAGAUUCGAAGCAUAAUCAUCCAGAGGAAAUGCUGGUAGUAUGGCUGUAUGUGUAUGUUCAAAACUCUCUACAGCAGAUGGUCUUGUUUUAGGGGCUGUCCAGAUUAUGAUUGGCAUAUUUCAUGUUUUCAUGUGGUACUUCCUACUGAUUUUGUAUAUGGGACAAAUUAGAGGAGUCUUUGGCGCAUACGAACCUAUAACUUACAAAGCAGGAUGUCCUUUAUGGGGAGUCAUCUUUAUCAUUGCAGGAGUCUCCAUAAUAAGAGUAGCAAAGCAUCCAACUCCAGGCGUGAUUACAUUUGCUUUGAUCAUGAACAUCUCAUGCAUAAUUACUUCAGUUAUUGCAUCAGUUCUAACAAUAAUUGAGUUGUCUUCUUUUAAUUCGGUGUCAUAUAGGAAUUAUGGACAAGCGAAACUUGGAAGGGAAGUUUCACGUAUUUUACUGCUCUCUUACUCCUUUGAGAUUUCUGUUGCGUUAACAUACGCAAUCUUUGGCUGUAUUGGUUUGAAAUGAAGGUGAAAUAAAGACACACACAGAUGAACAAAGAGAAUGUGUGGCUAGGAGAACUGCCUUAGACACUAUAGGAAAUUCUUUGGUCUAAAAGAAGGUAAUAUCAGAUGGAACUCAACACCUGAAGAAAUAAAGAGCAUCAGGUAAAGAGUCGUCAUAAUGAAGAUAGUCUCACAGCUGUCCCAGAGGAAUUUGAGAGUACUUUUUAAGAACCUUAAAAAUGUGAGAUUUUUCCUGGUGCUCAUACCUGCUGUGGGCCCUAAUGAUAUCUCUGUAUAACAAAGCUGCUACAAAGCCCACAGGUGUUGUGCAAAAGAAAAUACAAAACAAGUUGGAUUUUUUCUUCUCGGUAUUCAAGAAAUUUCUCUGCACAUAUUUUUGUAGGCUCCAAGUAGAAAGCUUUUCCCUAUUUAAAUACGUUAUUAUGAGGGAAAAAUUAUCUUCUAGUACUCUGAACCUGUCAACCCUGUCUUAACUCUGAAGCUGUCACCUCUCCCUAAGAGAGCUUUUGUAAGAGACCAUAAAAAAGAUCUGUGAUUGUCUCUAGAGGGCAGGCUAUAAAGACUUGGUGAGUGAUACUACGUAAUUCUCAGGAAAACUUUAAAAUACAAGUAAAGAGUACAUUUCAGUAUGACUUCUUCUACCAGAACUAGCUUCUACUUGAACAAAGGAUGAAUCCAAAGUCAUCCGACUCAUAGUCCCUUCAUUGUUCCUCUUUGACUGUCUCUCUCCUCAUUAAAGUUCCUUCCUGCCCUGAAA
Molecule: RNA transcript, 1624 nt
Organism: Prionailurus viverrinus (fishing cat)
Lineage: Eukaryota; Metazoa; Chordata; Mammalia; Carnivora; Felidae
Gene: MS4A13
Gene name: membrane spanning 4-domains A13
Exons: 8
Source: RefSeq, a predicted model, not a curated record